Non-coding RNA from Drosophila melanogaster (fruit fly), 429 nucleotides. Lineage: Eukaryota; Metazoa; Arthropoda; Insecta; Diptera; Drosophilidae. The record is from Ensembl.
UUUUUAUUUAAUUAACUUCAUUGGAUUGCCAUGUCAGGCAGGACAGGGAGCGGUGGAUGGGAGCACCGAAGGCUGAACUGCAAGGCAGUCCGUCGUCAGGUAGGUGGGCAAACCAGCUUGCAUCUCCGGCCCUGCCCACAUGCAAAAGCCCUGGCAUCUGCUCCGACUGUCGUUGUCGUUUUCAGCACCUUGACAAUGACUUAUUGUCGCCAGCCAGCAAGGAGAAGACGGAUAUGGAGGAGCAGGAGGGAACCAGGAGGUAGUCAGGAGGUAGCCAGGACUCGCUGCAUGCGGAGACAGAGCUCAUCUCCAGUUCAUUGGCAAUUCUUUGGCUAAAGUGGCCUUUCUUGUCUGGGCGUGGGCACAGCUCCUCGUGGCGUCGAAACAUCUACACAGAAAGAAAAUUCUUUUCCCCGAAAUCAAUCCUAU